Molecule: ribosomal RNA, 208 nt
Filed under: uncultured bacterium
Lineage: Bacteria
Description: partial 16S ribosomal RNA
Rfam family: Bacterial small subunit ribosomal RNA
Source: RNAcentral
CUCGUAGGUGGUUUGUCGCGUCGUCUAUGAAAUUCCGGGGCUUAACUCCGGGCGUGCAGGCGAUACGGGCAUAACUUGAGUACUGUAGGGGUAACUGGAAUUCCUGGUGUAGCGGUGAAAUGCGCAGAUAUCAGGAGGAACACCGAUGGCGAAGGCAGGUUACUGGGCAGUUACUGACGCUGAGGAGCGAAAGCAUGGGUAGCGAACA